RNAcentral lists this ribosomal RNA (1515 nucleotides) under Bacteroides fragilis str. 3719 A10. RNAcentral's name for it is "bacterial SSU rRNA". It matches the Rfam family "Bacterial small subunit ribosomal RNA". Lineage: Bacteria; Pseudomonadati; Bacteroidota; Bacteroidia; Bacteroidales; Bacteroidaceae. The record is from RNAcentral.
GAGUUUGAUCCUGGCUCAGGAUGAACGCUAGCUACAGGCUUAACACAUGCAAGUCGAGGGGCAUCAGGAAGAAAGCUUGCUUUCUUUGCUGGCGACCGGCGCACGGGUGAGUAACACGUAUCCAACCUGCCCUUUACUCGGGGAUAGCCUUUCGAAAGAAAGAUUAAUACCCGAUGGCAUAAUGAUUCCGCAUGGUUUCAUUAUUAAAGGAUUCCGGUAAAGGAUGGGGAUGCGUUCCAUUAGGUUGUUGGUGAGGUAACGGCCCACCAAGCCUUCGAUGGAUAGGGGUUCUGAGAGGAAGGUCCCCCACAUUGGAACUGAGACACGGUCCAAACUCCUACGGGAGGCAGCAGUGAGGAAUAUUGGUCAAUGGGCGCUAGCCUGAACCAGCCAAGUAGCGUGAAGGAUGAAGGCUCUAUGGGUCGUAAACUUCUUUUAUAUAAGAAUAAAGUGCAGUAUGUAUACUGUUUUGUAUGUAUUAUAUGAAUAAGGAUCGGCUAACUCCGUGCCAGCAGCCGCGGUAAUACGGAGGAUCCGAGCGUUAUCCGGAUUUAUUGGGUUUAAAGGGAGCGUAGGUGGACUGGUAAGUCAGUUGUGAAAGUUUGCGGCUCAACCGUAAAAUUGCAGUUGAUACUGUCAGUCUUGAGUACAGUAGAGGUGGGCGGAAUUCGUGGUGUAGCGGUGAAAUGCUUAGAUAUCACGAAGAACUCCGAUUGCGAAGGCAGCUCACUGGACUGCAACUGACACUGAUGCUCGAAAGUGUGGGUAUCAAACAGGAUUAGAUACCCUGGUAGUCCACACAGUAAACGAUGAAUACUCGCUGUUUGCGAUAUACAGUAAGCGGCCAAGCGAAAGCAUUAAGUAUUCCACCUGGGGAGUACGCCGGCAACGGUGAAACUCAAAGGAAUUGACGGGGGCCCGCACAAGCGGAGGAACAUGUGGUUUAAUUCGAUGAUACGCGAGGAACCUUACCCGGGCUUAAAUUGCAGUGGAAUGAUGUGGAAACAUGUCAGUGAGCAAUCACCGCUGUGAAGGUGCUGCAUGGUUGUCGUCAGCUCGUGCCGUGAGGUGUCGGCUUAAGUGCCAUAACGAGCGCAACCCUUAUCUUUAGUUACUAACAGGUUAUGCUGAGGACUCUAGAGAGACUGCCGUCGUAAGAUGUGAGGAAGGUGGGGAUGACGUCAAAUCAGCACGGCCCUUACGUCCGGGGCUACACACGUGUUACAAUGGGGGGUACAGAAGGCAGCUAGCGGGUGACCGUAUGCUAAUCCCAAAAGCCUCUCUCAGUUCGGAUCGAAGUCUGCAACCCGACUUCGUGAAGCUGGAUUCGCUAGUAAUCGCGCAUCAGCCACGGCGCGGUGAAUACGUUCCCGGGCCUUGUACACACCGCCCGUCAAGCCAUGGGAGCCGGGGGUACCUGAAGUACGUAACCGCAAGGAUCGUCCUAGGGUAAAACUGGUGACUGGGGCUAAGUCGUAACAAGGUAGCCGUACCGGAAGGUGCGGCUGGAACACC